Molecule: ribosomal RNA, 1028 nt
Filed under: Escherichia coli
Lineage: Bacteria; Pseudomonadati; Pseudomonadota; Gammaproteobacteria; Enterobacterales; Enterobacteriaceae
Description: partial 23S ribosomal RNA
Rfam family: Bacterial large subunit ribosomal RNA
Source: RNAcentral
AUUGUGAGCUCGAUGAGUAGGGCGGGACACGUGGUAUCCUGUCUGAAUAUGGGGGGACCAUCCUCCAAGGCUAAAUACUCCUGACUGACCGAUAGUGAACCAGUACCGUGAGGGAAAGGCGAAAAGAACCCCGGCGAGGGGAGUGAAAAAGAACCUGAAACCGUGUACGUACAAGCAGUGGGAGCCUCUUUAUGGGGUGACUGCGUACCUUUUGUAUAAUGGGUCAGCGACUUAUAUUCUGUAGCAAGGUUAACCGAAUAGGGGAGCCGAAGGGAAACCGAGUCUUAACUGGGCGUUAAGUUGCAGGGUAUAGACCCGAAACCCGGUGAUCUAGCCAUGGGCAGGUUGAAGGUUGGGUAACACUAACUGGAGGACCGAACCGACUAAUGUUGAAAAAUUAGCGGAUGACUUGUGGCUGGGGGUGAAAGGCCAAUCAAACCGGGAGAUAGCUGGUUCUCCCCGAAAGCUAUUUAGGUAGCGCCUCGUGAAUUCAUCUCCGGGGGUAGAGCACUGUUUCGGCAAGGGGGUCAUCCCGACUUACCAACCCGAUGCAAACUGCGAAUACCGGAGAAUGUUAUCACGGGAGACACACGGCGGGUGCUAACGUCCGUCGUGAAGAGGGAAACAACCCAGACCGCCAGCUAAGGUCCCAAAGUCAUGGUUAAGUGGGAAACGAUGUGGGAAGGCCCAGACAGCCAGGAUGUUGGCUUAGAAGCAGCCAUCAUUUAAAGAAAGCGUAAUAGCUCACUGGUCGAGUCGGCCUGCGCGGAAGAUGUAACGGGGCUAAACCAUGCACCGAAGCUGCGGCAGCGACACUAUGUGUUGUUGGGUAGGGGAGCGUUCUGUAAGCCUGUGAAGGUGGCCUGUGAGGGUUGCUGGAGGUAUCAGAAGUGCGAAUGCUGACAUAAGUAACGAUAAAGCGGGUGAAAAGCCCGCUCGCCGGAAGACCAAGGGUUCCUGUCCAACGUUAAUCGGGGCAGGGUGAGUCGACCCCUAAGGCGAGGCCGAAAGGCGUAGUCGAUGGGAAA